This 292-nucleotide ribosomal RNA is filed under the name uncultured bacterium. RNAcentral describes it as "partial 16S ribosomal RNA". RNAcentral also lists the same sequence under 2 other names. The record is from RNAcentral.
GGACUACUAGGGUAUCUAAUCCCGUUUGCUCCCCUGGCUUUCGCGCCUCAGCGUCAGUAGAGGGCCAGCGGACCGCUUUCGCCACCGGCGUUCCUUCCGAUAUCAACGCAUUUCACCGCUCCACCGGAAGUUCCGUCCGCCCCUACCUCCCUCGAGCUUCCCAGUAUCGGAGGCACUUUUCCGGUUGAGCCGAAAGAUUUCACCCCCGACUUGAGAAGCCGCCUACGCGCCCUUUAAGCCCAGUGAUUCCGAACAACGUUCGCACGGUUCGUCUUACCGCGGCUGCUGGCAC